GUGCAUCCAGAUCUAACUUUGGAAUAAUACUGCUUUUUUCCAUGAUGAUUGUCGCCAUCUUCUAUGUCUAUCUACGGAUUAGGUUGCCCUAUCUACAUCGUAGGCGCAGACGGAGACAAAACAGCAAAGCCAGUGGUGCAGCUCACCAUGAGCCAUAUGGGCGCAGGGCUCCAUCUAGAGGGACGCGCUGAAGUUACUCCCAGAAAAAAAAAUUCAAACUCAACCGUGGCUCACCUGCCCACCAGCUGUCUGCACUUUGUUUUCUGCACUGGCCAGUCAGCUAACUUGUCUCUAGCGUUGGCAGUGCAGAUGAACAUGAUUCUUGUAAUGGAUAUGUUUUUGAGAGAUGUUUUUAUUCCCACAGCAACAGUAAUUGCUUUGGAAAUAAAUUUAAAAAAUAUUCUAGGAAUAAUAAUGUUUUUUAAAAUAUUUGUGACUGUCUACCAUCUCCUUCCAAUGCAGGUAUGAAGGCUGAAAGUUGAUUUAUAGUGAGGCAGGUGACUCUCUUGGUAAGUGUCACUGGAUAGAAAAGUGGUGAGCGACACGUUCUCAUUCUUUUUUAUGUCCCGCACAACGUCACAUUUUGUCAUGCAAUGCGGUCGUGUUAUAAUCGUCAUCACAGAGACUGAAACUUUUCAAUCCACUCGACUCCGACCUGCAUUCAGCUCCUCUGUCCACAGAGGCCGCCGUCUGUCAGCAGCAGCUCCUGCAGAGCUGAGAGGACAGCGGCCUGUAAAACUGCCGUCACCAGGCUGACUGACAGCAGAUGUUUAACUGAACCAGUUUUCAGAUGAGCUCCAUGGGAGGAAAUCAACAAUUUUAACAGUUGUUGAUUCACUGACUUUAUCUCCCAGCUGACCAUCGCGACUCACAGACAGACACUGGGAGCUGAUCAAUCAAUAACUGUAAGGUUAAUAAGAUAAAAACACGCAUGUACAGCAGGAUAUAUGUGACUUGAGUGUUUGAAACCUGGAGCGACAUCACUUUUCUUAUGUUGCAUUCAGACACCAUUCACA
Molecule: non-coding RNA, 1016 nt
Organism: Plectropomus leopardus (leopard coralgrouper)
Lineage: Eukaryota; Metazoa; Chordata; Actinopteri; Perciformes; Serranidae
Source: RefSeq, a predicted model, not a curated record